GUACUACUCUCAGAGUUUGAUCCUGGCUCAGGAUGAACGCUAGCUACAGGCUUAACACAUGCAAGUCGAGGGGCAUCAGGAAGAAAGCUUGCUUUCUUUGCUGGCGACCGGCGCACGGGUGAGUAACACGUAUCCAACCUGCCCUUUACUCGGGGAUAGCCUUUCGAAAGAAAGAUUAAUACCCGAUGGCAUAAUGAUUCCGCAUGGUUUCAUUAUUAAAGGAUUCCGGUAAAGGAUGGGGAUGCGUUCCAUUAGGUUGUUGGUGAGGUAACGGCUCACCAAGCCUUCGAUGGAUAGGGGUUCUGAGAGGAAGGUCCCCCACAUUGGAACUGAGACACGGUCCAA
This 345-nucleotide ribosomal RNA is filed under the name uncultured bacterium. RNAcentral's name for it is "bacterial SSU rRNA". It matches the Rfam family "Bacterial small subunit ribosomal RNA", at positions 1 to 334 of the family's 1533-position model. The record is from RNAcentral.